UGAGCAAUCUGCCCUUCUCAUCGGAAUAAGCGUUGGAAACGACGUCUAAUGCCGAAUACGACCUCCUUUCGCAUGAUCGGAGGUGAAAAGCUCCGGCGGAGAAGGAUGAGCUCGCGGCCUAUCAGCUAGUUGGUGUGGGUAAUGGCCCACCAAGGCGACGACGGGUAGCCAGCCUGAGAGGGUGACCGGCCACACUGGGACUGAGACACGGCCCAGACUCCCUAGGGAGG
Molecule: ribosomal RNA, 230 nt
Filed under: uncultured bacterium
Lineage: Bacteria
Description: partial 16S ribosomal RNA
Rfam family: Bacterial small subunit ribosomal RNA
Source: RNAcentral